CAGGAAGUAUCAGCAUGGCAUUAGGUUGUUGUGAGAGAUUCAGCUCUUCUGCAGUGCCUUGUCAAACGACCUGACUGGUCAACUGGGAAAAUGAAGUUCUCAGGGCCAACAUCGUAUUUGGGUGUUUUUCUUUUAGGUCUGUAUCAAAGCCAGAUUUAAGAAGGAGGGUGUCUACAAAUGAACGAAAGCAGAGGAUGUCUGGGGACAAGCUAAGGACAUUUGUGUCCCACACUGCAUGUAUUCUGAAUCCAGAGAAAAGAGACAAACUUCUUGGGAGAAAGGAUCAUGCCUGAAGCAUCUUUGCAUCUCCCCUAACAUCUGUUUGCUAAGUGUUGAAUAAAAUAAAAGCUUGAAAGAAUGAAUCUGACUGUCAGUUGAGACAUCUGAUAAUCUAAAAGCAUUCAGAGAAUUAGGAUCCCAUAUGGCUCGAAAAUAUUUCCUAUCCGGCAGGAAAAAGAGAACAUACCAUGAAAAUAAUACUGAACAUUAAAUAGUAAACAAAAAACACCAUGACAAGUCUAAAGAGAGACCACAAAAGGAAGGAAAAAGGUCUCAAGUUUUGAUCAUCCUAUGAGCCCAUAUAUCCUUCAGAGCAAGACAAUGUGAAUAGGCAUCGUUGCACUUGGUAGAGGGUUAGGCAAAUAGUGGAUGCCAAAUAAAUCCUUGUGGAAUUGAAUGGUAUUACCUGGAGUUCCCUGAAGGUUGUACAUCCUCUUACUCCUUGGCCUUUGGAACGUCCUUCUCUAUACCUGGAAUUCUUCCUCUCUCUCUUUACCUCCUCUGACUACUGUCUCUUUACCUCACUUUGACCUUCCUAGUUCUGUUUAUCACUUCCUCUAAGAGUUGUUGCUUGAUGCCCCUGCACUGGGUUAGCAGAUUUUGCUAAGUGGUCCACAGAAUCACCUACUUAUGUGUUUCUCUGCCAGCUCUAUAAAGACAGACCAGACUACCUUGCGGUAAUUUGUUCAGUAUUUUAUCCCCAGGUUGAGCACAGCACCUGGCAUACAGUAGACAUUCAGUAAAUAUUUGUUAAAUGAA
This is a long non-coding RNA of Homo sapiens (human), 1038 nucleotides long. The record is from Ensembl. NCBI's taxonomy places the organism in Eukaryota, Metazoa, Chordata, Mammalia, Primates, Hominidae.